CCAUCCCUGUCAAAAAAAAAAAAAACUCCCCCUCUCUCCGUGAGCCCUCGCUCUCUCUCUACUGUGACUCCUUGCCGCUCCAGCCACAUACGCCGGCCGCCUCGCCUCGCUCCGGCGACUCCUUCCACCGCCAGGCACGCUCCUGAGCUAGCCUCCCUCCGCUACUUCCUCCCCUUCGGCUGGAUUCGACGCUCGUGCCCACCAGCAACCCUCCCCCGCGGCUAGGGUUUCAGGCGCGGCGGUCGGGCGGAGCAUCAUGCGCCGCCGCCUCGCCCUCGCCGGCGCUCCUCCUCCCACCUGUGUUGCCGCCGCCGCCAUCCCCAACGUGAGCAAGCUGGCUAGGGUUCACCGCCCCCCUUUGCUGAUCGAAUUGAUUUACACUAGUUACAGCAGCAGCAAGUCGAUCUACUCCCCCCUUUGCUGAAUGUUGAUGGAAUCGAAUGGCGCCAUCAGGUGGAGGAGGAGGAGCGCUGUUCCGGGGUUUUUCUACCCUGGUUGCGAAGCAAGGCAGGAGCCGGCACCUCGUCGGCGCUGCGCAUCGGGACCUUGCCCUUGGGAAGGUCAUUGUUCCCUUCGUGGCCGAUACAGUAGUGGGACUGCAUAUUGCAAGUGCCUCAAAAUGCUUAUGCGCAGCAACUCAAAGUCUGUUUGUGGCUGUUUGGCGAUCUGGUUACCCCGGCGGACCUCACUGUGUUCUAAGCGUCAACCUUGUGCACACAAGAACUUGAGGGUACCCUGCUCCAGCGUCCAGAGGAAUUGGGAUGGGCGCUGUAUGUUAGAUCCCUUCCAUGCAAGGAUCAGAUGCAUAACAUAGUAUGAACAUGCAGUAGAAAUGUUACGGAGGGACAUGCAUUUUCAUCUUCUAAUAUGCACUGCUGGCAUAUAAGUUCUGUUUGUUUCACACCCACAUAAGUGACAUAAAAGCUUCCAUGGUUAAUUUUCUGAACCAUUAUUUGGGCCUUGGGCUUGGUAAAUUGGAAAGCCGUUGGGAACCAGCCACCUACAUGUAGCCUGUAGGGAAGCCAUCAGAGGAAUUAGCGCCUCAAAAAAAUCAGAGGAACUAGCGGAGAAGGCUUCAGCGGUUGGUGCGUGGCUGCGUGCGGGCCUGCGGCAACCCUGGCAACGAGGAUGCUAAUGCGAGGGCGCGAGGUACGAUUGCCGCCGGCGGACAGAGAUUGGCGUCCGGCGUUGGCGUCCUGCGUCGUCCUGUGUUCUGCAGGGAACAUGUCUGAUACGGUGAAUUGGUGAUAACUUGCAGAUUUCAUUUGAAUCAGGGACUGAGGCAACCAAAUAAGUGGAAGAAAAAGUUAGACGUUGUGGCAGCCAGUGAGGGGUGAUCGACGCUGACUAGCGCAGCCGGUGGGCGCUGUGCUCUUCAACCACUCAGAGGCGGACUUCUCCGUGAAGCUGGUGGCCAUGUCGUGUAGAUGAUUGUCCAGGUGAUUCCGAUGUCGGAGGUCGCCGAGGUGGAGGACCUCGACGCCACUGUCCGGGGGGAGGGAGGAUUCGGGUCCACCGUCGUCUAAGCUCCGAGCCUUGGUAGAUACAAUCUAGGGAAGUUGUCUGUUUAGGUUGGUGAUGGAACACCAGGGAAGGUACCAACC
Molecule: long non-coding RNA, 1604 nt
Organism: Triticum aestivum (bread wheat)
Lineage: Eukaryota; Viridiplantae; Streptophyta; Magnoliopsida; Poales; Poaceae
Exons: 6
Source: RefSeq, a predicted model, not a curated record